Vigna radiata var. radiata (mung bean) is the source of this 1633-nucleotide RNA transcript. It is a transcript of the gene named GTP 3',8-cyclase, mitochondrial-like, with no coding region annotated. Lineage: Eukaryota; Viridiplantae; Streptophyta; Magnoliopsida; Fabales; Fabaceae. The record is from RefSeq and is a predicted model, not a curated record. The transcript is spliced from 6 exons.
UUUUUCUUUUUAUUUUUGUUCGUUUUCCUUCCAUCAUUUUAUCUUACUUUAUUUUUUCUUCAAAUUGCUAAACCUAAACUUAACUCCAUCAAACUCUUCCUUUUCUCGACCUUCCCGUCACAGCCAUUCUCGACCAGAAAAAGCACAAUGGCGACCCGCUGCAAAGUGCUGAGAAGGUGAUCUCGUAGAGGAGCUCGAUGUCGCCUAUCAUGAAGGCGGUGAGGAGUUCGGGCGUUGAACUGGACGAGGGAGUCGCAGACUUGGGAGACGAGUAUACAGUCGAAGGGGUUUUCAGUUCUAGGUUUUCCAUUUUUAUUCAAAACUCAAAUCUCAAAAUCAUCUCUUUUAGGUUUAGGUUUCAUGUUUCAAAGGCUUCACCUUUCACCACUGUCCACAAAUUCGUGACAUCAUAAAACCCUAAUCGAAGUUGAGACAAUUCUCAAACGCCUCGGCACUUAUGGCGGCCACAACAGUAUUGUUUGGUGUUGCGAUGUCUUUCCAUAUUGAUUUCACUUCCAAUUCAACUUUUCAAAAUUGUCUCUCACACUGAUUGUUAAUGGUGCAGGAAAUUCUGGUUAACUCAUAACUGGGAGUGGGGAUUAUUGUUGCCCUGUACGUGUUUGAUGAAAUUCCUAAGUUAAGUGCAAUACAUUUUUGUUGCCCACCUCUUGUUAUUGUUGGCUUGUUGUAGUGAUUGUUUCUGUUGUUCUAUAGUUGGUUGUGGACGUGAUUCUGACUCCGGUUGAGGAUCUUGCUGUUUUGGUGCUUGUUGCUGGUCAUUUUGGAGAAUUUGUUGCAGGACAUGGAUGGUAUAAAAAUCAUCGGUGGUGGUACUUUUGAUGGUGUCGGUAAGGAAUCAUGGAAAACGGCUACCGACUGUAAAGCAGACCCCAGCGCAACCUGCAUCAGAAACCCUUCUAGACCCAUGGUAACCAUCAUUACCAAACAGAUGAAACAGUUUCCAAGCUUAAAAAGAGUUCAGGACCACCCUACAGAUACAACCAAAAAUUUCACAAUAGAUGGGCACGAAGGUAGAGUUUCGUUUAUCACAUCAAUGACUGAGCAUUUCUGUGCUGGUUGCAAUAGAUUGCGACUACUUGCUGAUGGAAACUUUAAAGUCUGUUUAUUUGGUCCUUCGGAGGUUAGUUUAAGAGAUCCCUUGAGAUGUGGUGCAGAGGAUCAUGAACUUAGGGAGAUAAUAGGAGCAGCGGACUUAUCAUUCUCUUAAUAUGAUGAUGCUGCAAUAGAAUUUCACUCACUGCUAUUUUAAUUUAACAUGCUAAUGAACCUUUAUUAAAGAAGAUAUACUGCAAAUAGGCCUAUGAUACAUAUUGGUGGAUAAGGUAUCAUACAUACAUAGCAGGCCACCAGAGUAGUCCUGGUGAGAAAAUUGAGUAUUAUCUGAGAUCUUCAUUGAUAAUCAAUCUCACUACAAAGGGUGAUCAAUUUUUCAACUAUACCUAGUCACAUAUACUGUUGAAUGUUGUGCCUUUGGAUAGAACCCACUGUUGUAUCGAGUAAUAAUGCAAAUUUGGGAUUGAAUUUUCUGAUCAUGUAUAAAAAUAUAAAUAUUAUAAAGUUAUCCUUCUCUGUAAAAACUUAAGUGAAAAAUAAAUCUCCAAUGUUUUCUUCU